CUGCUGUUAAAGCGCAGGGCUCAACUCUGUAACGGCAGUGGAAACUGGGUGGCUAGAGUACGGUAGGGGCAGAGGGAAUUCCCAGUGUAGCGGUGAAAUGCGUAGAUAUUGGGAAGAACACCAGUGGCGAAGGCGCUCUGCUGGGCCGUAACUGACACUCAUGGACGAAAGCUAGGGGAGCGAAAGGGAUUAGAUACCCCUGUAGUCCUAGCUGUAAACGAUGGACACUAGGCGUUGGCCGUAUCGACCCGGUCAGUGCCGUAGCUAACGCGUUAAGUGUCCCGCCUGGGGAGUACGCACGCAAGUGUGAAACUCAAAGGAAUUGACGGGGGCCCGCACAAGCGGUGGAGUAUGUGGUUUAAUUCGAUGCAACGCGAAGAACCUUACCAGGGCUUGACAUCCCGCGAACCUCUGUGAAAGCAGAGGGUGCCUUCGGGAACGCGGAGACAGGUGGUGCAUGGCUGUCGUCAGCUCGUGUCGUGAGAUGUUGGGUUAAGUCCCGCAACGAGCGCAACCCUCGUCUUUAGUUGCCAUCAUUCAGUUGGGCACUCUAGAGAGACUGCCGGUGACAAACCGGAGGAAGGUGGGGAUGACGUCAAGUCAUCAUGCCCCUUACGUUCUGGGCUACACACGUACUACAAUGCUUCGGACAAAGGGUUGCCAACUCGCGAGAGUGCGCUAAUCUCAUAAACCGAGGCUCAGUUCAGAUCGCAGGCUGCAACUCGCCUGCGUGAAG
This 736-nucleotide ribosomal RNA is filed under the name uncultured cyanobacterium. RNAcentral's name for it is "bacterial SSU rRNA". It matches the Rfam family "Bacterial small subunit ribosomal RNA", at positions 589 to 1325 of the family's 1533-position model. Lineage: Bacteria; Bacillati; Cyanobacteriota. The record is from RNAcentral.